This 79-nucleotide transfer RNA is filed under the name Megaviridae environmental sample. Its description in RNAcentral is "tRNA-Leu". It matches the Rfam family "tRNA". Rfam says of the family: Transfer RNA (tRNA) molecules are approximately 80 nucleotides in length. Their secondary structure includes four short double-helical elements and three loops (D, anti-codon, and T loops). Further hydrogen bonds mediate the characteristic L-shaped molecular structure. tRNAs have two regions of fundamental functional importance: the anti-codon, which is responsible for specific mRNA codon recognition, and the 3' end, to which the tRNAs corresponding amino acid is attached (by aminoacyl-tRNA synthetases). tRNAs cope with the degeneracy of the genetic code in two manners: having more than one tRNA (with a specific anti-codon) for a particular amino acid; and 'wobble' base-pairing, i.e. permitting non-standard base-pairing at the 3rd anti-codon position. The record is from RNAcentral. Lineage: Varidnaviria; Bamfordvirae; Nucleocytoviricota; Megaviricetes; Imitervirales; Mimiviridae.
GCCUGUGUACCCCGACCGGUAAGGGGCUCGAUUCAAGACCGAGUGCGCAAGCGAAGAGGUUCGACUCCUCACAUAGGCA